Molecule: ribosomal RNA, 253 nt
Filed under: uncultured bacterium
Lineage: Bacteria
Description: partial 16S ribosomal RNA
Rfam family: Bacterial small subunit ribosomal RNA
Source: RNAcentral
UACGUAGGGUGCAAGCGUUGUCCGGAAUUAUUGGGCGUAAAGAGCUCGUAGGCGGUCUGUCACGUCGGCUGUGAAAUCCCGAGGCUCAACCUCGGGUCUGCAGUCGAUACGGGCAAACUAGAGUAUUGCAGGGGAGACUGGAAUUCCUGGUGUAGCGGUGGAAUGCGCAGAUAUCAGGAGGAACACCGGUGGCGAAGGCGGGUCUCUGGGCAAUAACUGACGCUGAGGAGCGAAAGCGUGGGGAGCGAACAGG